Molecule: long non-coding RNA, 832 nt
Organism: Magnolia sinica
Lineage: Eukaryota; Viridiplantae; Streptophyta; Magnoliopsida; Magnoliales; Magnoliaceae
Exons: 2
Source: RefSeq, a predicted model, not a curated record
GACCGGAUCGGCUUGAUACUUUUUGGAUCUACUGGAUGGCUUGGAUCUUGCUUGUGUGUGGAGGGGCUAGGAUUUACAUGCAUCUAUAAUUUGCAAACCUCCUGUGAAGAAAGCCUAUUAUUGACAAUACUUUUACCUGCUCUUAUAUCAUGUCAUUUACAAGAUCCAUGCAUUUCCCUCUCGAAGUCGCUGGACAAAGUUGCAGAGGGAGUUUCUCUAGCUCUGAAAUUGCAAUCUGACAAUCUCUGAGACGAAGGUAUAACUUACCACGUGUAUAUAUGAUGCGCCAUGUUGUUUUAAAACACACUCUCGGUCAAUGAUGUUAUCCAUUUCAGUUUUGUAGUUCUGGCCAGCAACAAGUUUUCCAUUCCUUCUACCAUGUUAUUGGUAGAGCUCGGAAUUGGAAAUUGAAACAUGGCUGAAUAAAAGGGCAUGGAGAAAUUUAAGUUCCACAAUGCCCUUUUGUGUUGGGUGUAGUCUAGGGGGUCUGAGAUCAUGUCCCCUGAUCAGCCUCUUUAUCAUCCAGUUUUGUCUUAUUUCAGUCAUGCAUGUAUCACCCUUGCUUUUACUUGGAUGCAUUUGGUUGAAAAGUGAAUUGAAUUGCAAAAUGAGGGGGAAAAUUGGUAAUUAAGGAAUUUUCAUAGCAUCAGCAAUGAGGAAGUAGCCCUUGAGCUGCAGUUACUUCCAGGUUUCAAAUUGCAAAGAAAUGAAAUCACCAUUUGGGUUUCUCUUGUGUUAUUAGACUAGCAAUUGUUGCAAUUCAAUGGUGCACCCAAACGAUCCCUUUGACCUUUUAAUGAUUCUACCUAAUCAUGUAAUUGUUGAUUGAUUC